This 218-nucleotide small RNA is filed under the name Pongo abelii (Sumatran orangutan). RNAcentral's name for it is "retained intron". The record is from RNAcentral. Lineage: Eukaryota; Metazoa; Chordata; Mammalia; Primates; Hominidae.
AGGAAGAACCUCAGAGUCUCUGUGAGUUAGUGCAGCAAAAGACAUGUAGCCUCUGCCCACUUCACUCUCCAUGAGGCUUACUGCCUGCGGUUCCUGGUCCUGUGUCCGGAGUGUGAGGAGCCUGUCCCCAAGGAAACCAUGGAGGAGCACUGCAAGGUUGAGCACCAGCAGGUGAGGAGGCGGCAGGGAGGAUGGGGUCUGGGAGUCAAGGUGAGUGU